RNAcentral lists this ribosomal RNA (445 nucleotides) under uncultured bacterium. RNAcentral's name for it is "bacterial SSU rRNA". It matches the Rfam family "Bacterial small subunit ribosomal RNA", at positions 28 to 454 of the family's 1533-position model. The record is from RNAcentral.
GAUGAACGCUGGCGGCGUGCCUAACACAUGCAAGUCGAACGAAGCUUGACGGAUGAUUUCUUCGGAAUGAAACCUGAUAUGACUUAGUGGCGGACGGGUGAGUAACACGUGAGCAACCUGCCUUUCAGAGGGGGAUAACGGCUGGAAACGGUCGCUAAUACCGCAUGAUGUGUUCGGAUGGCAUCAUCUGAACAUCAAAGAUUUAUCGCUGAAAGAUGGGCUCGCGUCUGAUUAGAUAGUUGGUGGGGUAACGGCCUACCAAGUCUACGAUCAGUAGCCGGACUGAGAGGUUGAACGGCCACAUUGGGACUGAGAUACGGCCCAGACUCCUACGGGAGGCAGCAGUGGGGAAUAUUGCACAAUGGGGGAAACCCUGAUGCAGCAACGCCGCGUGAAGGAUGACGGUUUUCGGAUUGUAAACUUCUUUUCUUAGUGACGAAGACAG